UAGGGAAUCUUCCGCAAUGGACGAAAGUCUGACGGAGCAACGCCGCGUGAGUGAAGAAGGAUUUCGGUUCGUAAAACUCUGUUGUUAGGGAAGAAAAAAUGUAUAGUAACUAUAUACAAAAGAGACGGUACCUAACCAGAAAGCCACGGCUAACUACGUGCCAGCAGCCGCGGUAAUACGUAGGUGGCAAGCGUUGUCCGGAAUUAUUGGGCGUAAAGCGCGCGCAGGUGGUUUAGAAAGUCUGAUGUGAAAGCCCACGGCUCAACCGUGGAGGGUCAUUGGAAACUAAUAAACUUGAGUGCAGGAGAGAAAAGUGGAAUUCCUAGUGUAGCGGUGAAAUGCGUAGAGAUUAGGAGGAACACCGGUGGCGAAAGCGGCUCUCUGGUCUGUAACUGACGCUGAGGCUCGAAAGCGUGGGGAGCGAACAGGA
Molecule: ribosomal RNA, 430 nt
Filed under: Verrucomicrobiota bacterium
Lineage: Bacteria; Pseudomonadati; Verrucomicrobiota
Description: Verrucomicrobia bacterium partial 16S ribosomal RNA
Rfam family: Bacterial small subunit ribosomal RNA
Source: RNAcentral